Molecule: long non-coding RNA, 1387 nt
Filed under: Homo sapiens (human)
Lineage: Eukaryota; Metazoa; Chordata; Mammalia; Primates; Hominidae
Description: HSALNT0359196
Source: RNAcentral
CUGCCCGCCACCGCCACCGACGAGUUUCAACAUGGGGAAUCAAGUUCUCUGGGCUUGCAGAGAGGAGAUGGGCGGGUUGGGCUUUGUAUGGCGAUGUGAAAACCAGAUGGGUCUGGGAGAGACAGCGAAAGGAGCGAACCGUUUCAGGAGGAAUACGGGAGGAAGACAAUUAUUUGCAGAGGUGUCAGGGGAUUUGAUGCAGAUGAUCAUCAUGGCUUGGAGAAACAAUGAAGGAAGCAAAGUAUGCCAUCUAUGCUGCGGGAGGUAACUCCAGAAGACCCCAGAGAGAACGAGUUUGGACUUUUAACUGAGGGCCAUUGGAAACUACUGAAGAGUUUUAGGCAGCAUAAGAACUACUAGAUUUUCAUUGUGGGAGGAUCCUCAGCAGCAGCCUCAGAAAGGAGAUUGGGGAAGGAGAUCCCUAGUCAGGGAGACCAAGAAGACUACUGGAAAAAAACAGGGGAAUCCUCAAGGACCUGCAAACAAGAAACCAAAUCCCCCCACUCCCCCCAGCCAAAAUGUGUUCAUUUUGACCAGCUGUGUGUGUGUUUUAAAUUAAAAGUUUGAAUUAGAAAGCAAGUAGGAUAAAUUUAUAUACUUAGAUGUAUAAAUUUAAAUACCUGGCCCCUGAAGCACUUCUGAUAGGUCUCAGCUACCCAAACAAGAAGAACGGAAUCUUUGAAUCCCCAGGACUCAACGCAGUACUGGACACAAAAUGGGAGCUGAAAAAGUGUGUGUGGAGUCAGUGAAGGAUGCAAUUUCCCCUCAUUGUAGAGAUGAAGAAGCUGAGGCUGCAGAGUAGAAUAGGAGCAGACAGUGGGGAUUGUCUUCAAAGUAGGUUCCUAGUUCCUGGCUCAGAGGUCCCAGUUUUUGUUGACCAUGGACAGUAAAACUCCCUGGGGAAGCGGGCCCAGUCUCAGGAGAGCAGUUUUGAUUGGUCUAAGUUUGUGAUUGACUUAGGAACUGUCUGGCCAAUGAAAUAUGAGGGAAAGCCUGGGGGAUUCUGGGAAAGGUUUUGUAAACCAAAAAGUAUUUGAGACAUGUCUCAAUUUUAGAGGAUUAUUUUGCCAAGGUUAAGGACCAUUGCCCAUACAGCCUCAGGAGGCCCUGAGAACAUAUACCCAAGGUGGUUGGGGUACAGCUUCAUUUUAUACAUUUUAGGGAGUCAGAAGUUACAGGCAAAGACAUAAAUCAAUACAUGCAAGGUAUACAUUGGUUUGGCCCAGAGAGGUGGAACAUCUAGAAGCAGGAGCUUCCAGGUCAUAAGUGGAUUCAAAGAUUUCCUGAUUGGCAGUUUGUUGACAGAGUUAAGCUCCGCCCCAAGAGUUGAUGUCAGCUUAAAUUAAGGUAGGACACUCUGCAACCUUGGUUUGAUUUUGGAUCCCCC